GUUAAUAACCUCGCCGAUUGACGUUACCCGCAGAAGAAGCACCGGCUAACUCCUGCCAGCAGCCGGGUUAUACGAGGGGUGCCAAGCGUUAUUUGGAAUUUUUGGCGUAAAAGCCACGCCAGGCGGUUCUGUUAAAUUCAGAUUGUGAAAGUCCCCGGGCUUAACCUGGGAACUGCCAUUUGAAACUGGCCAGGCUUGAUUCUCGUAGAGGGGGGUUAGAAUUCCAGGUGUAGCGGUGAAAUGCGUAGAGAUCUGGAGGAAUACCGGUGGCGAAGGCGGCCCCCUGGACCGAAAGACUGACGCUCAGGUGCGAAAGCGUGGGGAGCCAACCAGGAUUAGAUACCCUGGUAGUCCACGCCGUAAAACGAUGUCGACUUGGAGGUUGUUCCCUUGAGGAGUGGCUUCCGGAGCUAACGCGUUAAGUCGACCGCCUGGGGAGUACGGCCGCAAGGUUAAAACUCAAAUGAAUUGACGGGGGCCCGCACAAGCGGUGGAGCAUGUGGUUUAAUUCGAUGCAACGCGAAGAACCUUACCUACUCUUGACAUCCAGAGAACUUUCCAGAGAUGGAUUGGUGCCUUCGGGAACUCUGAGACAGGUGCUGCAUGGCUGUCGUCAGCUCGUGUUGUGAAAUGUUGGGUUAAGUCCCGCAACGAGCGCAACCCUUAUCCUUUGUUGCCAGCGAUUCGGUCGGGAACUCAAAGGAGACUGCCGGUGAUAAACCGGAGGAAGGUGGGGAUGACGUCAAGUCAUCAUGGCCCUUACGAGUAGGGCUACACACGUGCUACAAUGGCGCAUACAAAGAGAAGCGACCUCGCGAGAGCAAGCGGACCUCACAAAGUGCGUCGUAGUCCGGAUCGGAGUCUGCAACUCGACUCCGUGAAGUCGGAAUCGCUAGUAAUCGUGGAUCAGAAUGCCACGGUGAAUACGUUCCCGGGCCUUGUACACACCGCCC
RNAcentral lists this ribosomal RNA (953 nucleotides) under uncultured bacterium. RNAcentral describes it as "bacterial SSU rRNA". It matches the Rfam family "Bacterial small subunit ribosomal RNA", at positions 455 to 1395 of the family's 1533-position model. The record is from RNAcentral.